ACGUUUACUUUUCUGAAUAGGUAUUUGGGAAAUGCUUGGGGUAGCAGAAAACUUGCGGAAAAUAGAAAGCGGUAGCAGCAAGGGUUGUCCAUCUAACAAGUUUUACCAUAGAACCCGAAGAAGUGGCAUGGAAUUUGACUCUGAUUGGACCAAGCAUAGAAAAUCAUUGACCUUUACCGCACAAGUUAUCAGUUCUUCAACUUCUUUUAUCCCUUGGUCUUCUAAGAUUGCAAUUAGUGAAGGAUAUCAUGAAAUAUGAAUUUCUUUAGUCAAUUGCCAAUUUAUUCAAUUACUUUAGAGAAGAGGCCUGGUCAAUGAUCGUAUCGCUUUGUCAAAAAUUGUGGUUUUAAAAAAUGCUUGGUGUUGUAAGUGGAAACAAGAGAGUCACUGCAUCAAGUAUGUGUUCCACAGAUUUGAGCCAGCAAGAUAGUCUAGGUUUUGAUUCCUUUUUAAGUUGUAAUUAUGUGUCUGAUGGCCCCAUCUUGCCUGGACUGCCAGAUGAUGUGGCAAAGUAUUGCCUUGCUUAUAAUUAUGCGUCUGAUGGCCCCAUCUUGCCUGGACUGCCAGAUGAUGUGGCAAAGUAUUGCCUUGCACUUGUUCCCCGAUCCGAUUUUCCUGCUAUGGGUGGUGCCUGCAAGCGGUGGAGGUCAUUUCUGCGAAGCAAAGAGUUUAUCAGCAUU
This 680-nucleotide long non-coding RNA is filed under the name Nicotiana benthamiana. RNAcentral describes it as "long non-coding RNA (NBEN_LNC003261)". Lineage: Eukaryota; Viridiplantae; Streptophyta; Magnoliopsida; Solanales; Solanaceae. The record is from RNAcentral.